Molecule: non-coding RNA, 585 nt
Organism: Myripristis murdjan (pinecone soldierfish)
Lineage: Eukaryota; Metazoa; Chordata; Actinopteri; Holocentriformes; Holocentridae
Source: the annotation of a RefSeq genome assembly
AUCACUGAGUCAGCAAUGUUGACUCUCUGCUCACUGAUCUCAUUCUGCAUGUUAUGGGGUCAAAGUGUUGGAGACACCAUCACACCAGAGAAGGAUGCUGAACAAGCCGCUGAGGGCAGUAAAGUGAAGCUCUCCUGCAGAUACAGCAGCUCUCGAGUUUACAGUCUGUUAUGGUACCGCCAGUAUCCUGGAUCAGCUCCCCAGUUCCUCAUACUGGAAAACUCAGGAGUCGAAAAUAAUCCCAUACCAGGACUGAGCAUCCAACAUGUCAAAGAGCAGAGUCGAGUGGAUCUGGAGAUCUCCUCAGCUGAAGUGACAGACUCUACUCUGUACGAAGGCAGCAACGUUACUCUGUCAUACAAAUAUUCAGAGAAAGCAACUGGUCGUGAUUCCUUCUUCUGGUAUCGUCAAGAUCCAGGAAAACCACCAGAAUUCCUCCUGUCCAUUGCAGGAUAUCAAGAUUCAGAAGAGUUUCUCAAAUCAGACCCAAGGAUUUCUACUAAACUGUCUGAGAACAAGCAUGGUGUGGAUCUGGAGAUCUCCUCUGCUGCAGUGACAGACUCUGCUCUGUACUACUGUGCUGUG